This 497-nucleotide ribosomal RNA is filed under the name uncultured bacterium. RNAcentral's name for it is "partial 16S ribosomal RNA". It matches the Rfam family "Bacterial small subunit ribosomal RNA", at positions 28 to 507 of the family's 1533-position model. The record is from RNAcentral.
GAUGAACGCUGGCGGCGUGCCUAAUACAUGCAAGUCGAGCGAACGGACGAGAAGCUUGCUUCUCUGAUGUUAGCGGCGGACGGGUGAGUAACACGUGGAUAACCUACCUAUAAGACUGGGAUAACUUCGGGAAACCGGAGCUAAUACCGGAUGAUAUUUUGAACCGCAUGGUUCAAAAGUGAAAGACGGUCUUGCUGUCACUUAUAGAUGGAUCCGCGCUGCAUUAGCUAGUUGGUAAGGUAACGGCUUACCAAGGCAACGAUGCAUAGCCGACCUGAGAGGGUGAUCGGCCACACUGGAACUGAGACACGGUCCAGACCCCUACGGGAGGCAGCAGUAGGGAAUCUUCCGCAAUGGGCGAAAGCCUGACGGAGCAACGCCGCGUGAGUGAUGAAGGUCUUCGGAUCGUAAAACUCUGUUAUUAGGGAAGAACAUAUGUGUAAGUAACUGUGCGCAUCUUGACGGUACCUAAUCAGAAAGCCACGGCUAACUACGUG